AAACAUGUCUUUUUGAAUUAAAUUUAAAGUCUGACCUGCCCACUGAAUAAUUUUAAAUGGCCGCAGUAUUUUGACUGUGCAAAGGUAGCAUAAUCAUUAGUCUUUUAAUUGGAGGCUGGUAUGAACGGUUGGACGAAGUAUAAGCUGUUUCAUAUAAAUUUAUAAUAGAAUUUUAUAUUUUAGUUAAAAAGCUAAAAUUUUAUUAAAAGACGAGAAGACCCUAUAAAUCUUUAUAUUUAAUAUAAACUAAAUUUUUUUGAUUUAUUUUAUUUUUUUUAUAUUAAUUAUUUUGUUGGGGUGAUAUUAAAAUUUAAUGAACUUUUAAUUUUUUAAAUCAUUAAUUUAUGAAUUAUUGAUCCAUUAAUAUUGAUUAUAAGAUUAAGUUACUUUAGGGAUAACAGCGUAAUUUUUUUUGAGAGUUCAUAUCGACAAAAAAGUUUGCGACCUCGAUGUUGGAUUAAGGUAUAAUUUUGGGUGUAGCCGUUCAAAAAUUAAGUCUGUUCGACUUUUAAAUCCUUACAUGAUC
RNAcentral lists this ribosomal RNA (526 nucleotides) under Anastrepha fraterculus. Its description in RNAcentral is "partial small subunit ribosomal RNA". The stretch from base 394 to 526 matches the Rfam family "Bacterial large subunit ribosomal RNA", at positions 2473 to 2605 of the family's 2925-position model. The record is from RNAcentral. RNAcentral also lists the same sequence under 1 other name. Lineage: Eukaryota; Metazoa; Arthropoda; Insecta; Diptera; Tephritidae.